Non-coding RNA from Rheinheimera sp. SA_1, 104 nucleotides. Lineage: Bacteria; Pseudomonadati; Pseudomonadota; Gammaproteobacteria; Chromatiales; Chromatiaceae. The record is from Rfam.
GGCGAUAUCUUGUUUUUUCGGAUGUUUUUUCGCCCCGAUCUUCGGGGCGUUUUUAUAUCUGAAGUAUUGAUGUACUAAUAUUCUGGGCUAUAUGCCCUUUUUUU